Molecule: non-coding RNA, 501 nt
Organism: Gekko japonicus
Lineage: Eukaryota; Metazoa; Chordata; Lepidosauria; Squamata; Gekkonidae
Source: the annotation of a RefSeq genome assembly
AUGAGCUCUUCGGUUCUGCAGCUGUGCCUCUUGCUGGCUCUCUUCAUCCGUGGCGGAGCAGUCCAGCCCGUGCCCGUCCAGCCUCCCGUGCCCGUCCAGCCUCCGCGGGCCUUGUUUGCCGAGGGCGCCACCGCUGUGCUGCCCUGCCGCCUGGAGCGCGGCCAGAUCCAAGACUUCCACGUCCUCUGGUUCCGGCAGCGGCCCGGUGACCGGCCGGCCCACGUGCUGAAGCAUCACACGGACGGUCAGAUCCAACGAACCAGCGGGUUCGGCGAGAGGUUCGUGCCCGUCCGGGACGCCGGGGCCAACGCCUACGUGCUGCAGAUCCAGGCGGCGCGCACGGAGGACAGCGCCACCUACUGGUGCAUGGCAGAGAUAAAUUUAUUCAGCACCGCAGUCUCGGGGGCGGGGACGCAGCUCAGCGUCACGGGAGGUGAGUGCGAAUUGCCGAUGCCAACUCCAGGCUGGGGAAAUUCCGGGAUAUUUGGGCUUGAAGCCUGA